UAUCUGGUUGAUCCUGCCAGUAUUAUAUGCUGAUGUUAAAGAUUAAGCCAUGCAUGUGUAAGUAUAAAGACCAAGUAGGAUGAAACUGCGGACGGCUCAUUAUAACAGUAAUAGUUUCUUUGGUUAGUAAAAUACAAGGAUAGCUUUGUGAAUGAUAAAGAUAAUACUUGAGACGAUCCAGUUUGUAUUAGUACAAAAUGGCCAAUUUAUUUAAAUGAAUUGAGAAAUGACAUUCUAAGUGAGUUAGGAUGCCACGACAAUUGUAGAACACACAGUGUUUAACAAGUAACCAAUGAGAAUUUCUGAUCUAUCAAUCAGUUGGUAGUAUCGAGGACUACCAAGAUUAUAACGGAUAACGAGGAAUUGGGGUUCGACAUCGGAGAGGGAGCUUUACAGAUGGCUACCACUUCUAAGGAAGGCAGCAGGCGCGUAAAUUACCCACUUUCGAAUUGAAGAGGUAGUGACGACACAUAACUCUAGAGUUGAGUAAAAUCAAUUCUUGAAGGAAUGAGUAGGAGGUAAAUUCUCCUACGAAAUCAAUUGGAGGGCAAGUCUGGUGCCAGCAGCCGCGGUAAUUCCAGCUCCAAUAGUGUAUAUUAAAGUUGCUGUGAUUAAAACGCUCGUAGUUGA
Molecule: ribosomal RNA, 630 nt
Filed under: Entamoeba histolytica
Lineage: Eukaryota; Evosea; Mastigamoebida; Endamoebidae
Description: SSU rRNA
Rfam family: Eukaryotic small subunit ribosomal RNA
Source: RNAcentral